Molecule: ribosomal RNA, 570 nt
Filed under: uncultured bacterium
Lineage: Bacteria
Description: bacterial SSU rRNA
Rfam family: Bacterial small subunit ribosomal RNA
Source: RNAcentral
GCUUGCUCCUUGGCGGCGAGUGGCGGACGGGUGAGUAAUACGUACGAAUCUGCCCAGUAGUGGGAGACAACCCGGGGAAACCCGGGCUAAUACCGCAUACGCCCUACGGGGGAAAGCGGGGGACUUUCGGGCCUCGCGCUAUUGGAUGAGCCUACGUCGGAUUAGCUUGUUGGUGGGGUAAAAGCCUACCAAGGCGACGAUCCGUAGCUGGUCUGAGAGGAUGAUCAGCCACACUGGGACUGAGACACGGCCCAGACUCCUACGGGAGGCAGCAGUGGGGAAUAUUGGACAAUGGGCGCAAGCCUGAUCCAGCAAUGCCGCGUGUGUGAAGAAGGCCUUCGGGUUGUAAAGCACUUUCAGCAGGGAAGAAAAGUCGAGCGUUAAUACCGCUCGGCCUUGACGUUACCUACAGAAGAAGCACCGGCUAACUCUGUGCCAGCAGCCGCGGUAAUACAGAGGGUGCGAGCGUNAAUCGGAAUUACUGGGCGUAAAGGGCGCGUAGGCGGUUUUGUAAGUCGGAUGUGAAAGCCCCGGGCUUAACCUGCGAACUGCAUUCGAUACUGCAAGACU